This is a long non-coding RNA of Zonotrichia leucophrys gambelii, 1643 nucleotides long. RefSeq lists it as uncharacterized. The transcript has 3 exons. The record is from RefSeq and is a predicted model, not a curated record. Lineage: Eukaryota; Metazoa; Chordata; Aves; Passeriformes; Passerellidae.
UACAAGAGGGCUUCAGAUACUUACCUACUAGACAUGCUUUUACACAGUUGUGUUUCACCUCUAUUCAAUAUUGUUGAUGGAAUCUGGAGAUAUAAGUUGUCUUAUUACAAGUUUAAUUGUUUAUUUUUAAAUGGAAUAUUAUUACUGCUGUUCUUCAUCAGUAGCAAUCCUGGUAUUGUCUUUUGCCCCCUCAACAUGAUAUAAUGAUCAUCCUUUGUUUAUGGAGUUAAGAUCUAAUGGAAAUGUUCACAAACAGCCGCCCCAAAUCUCUGAAGCAUGAGAACCUAUAUUUAUUAAAAUAAUUUCACUGAAGAUUUUUCUGGGAAAAUGAAAACAGCUUCACAGGGAGAAGAGCUACAUUUGGAAAGAUUUUCCCUUUCAUCCUGCGGAGGAAUUUGUUACUUCCUGUGGUUCAUUUUUUCUUGAAAACAUGGAUCUUUUGCACAGAUUCAGAAAGAAAUAUACAAAAGUAAAUAUUAAAAAGGUAUCACUUGAACUAUCUCUGCAAAAAUAUUUUUCUCAUUUAAACCUAAAAUUUGAGACUUCUGGGUUUUUUCAUUUCAUCAUAAGACUCAGUUCUUAAGAUGGAAACAUUUUGACAGCUGAUGCAAAAACCCCCAAACCAUUACUAUGUAUAUUAGAAAAUUUUAUUUAACUUCAGUGCUUCUUUUCUAUUAUAAAAUGAUUGGGUCUGUGUCCCACAUUGAAAUGAGCUGUCAUGGUUCAGGAAUGGUACUCUUCAAACCACACUGCCGCAGGUUCACUCCUGCCCUCCCCUUGCCACCUGUGGUGGGAUGGAGGAGAGAAAUGGAGGAACAAAAGGUAAAGGUAUCACCUUGAGAUAACAACAAUUUACAGAAACAGCAAUGAGAUCAGAAAACAAACAGCAACAAUUACACUACUAAUAAGAAAAAUGUACAAGAGAGAGGGGAGUGCUUCACAUGUGAAAUGCUCAGAACCAGGGUUACCCUGAUCUCUUCCUCCGCCACAGGAACACAACCAGAAUUCCUUCUCCAGGAAAGAGACUCUGCUCCUCCCACCUCUAGCAAAGACAAAAAGUGGUAUAGACCAGCCUCUGUGUCCUAGCCAUUCCCCCUCCUUAGCAGAUACUGCAAAAAUUAUCCUUGUCCUAGCCAGAACCAGGACAUAAACUUUAUAAAUAGAUUCAUUUAUAACUAGGAGGAAUUCUUCUUGCAAUCAGCCCAAAACAACUGACCAAGACAAACAUUUUAUAUUUUUAUAGUAUUAUAUAAAAAUUAAAUUACACCAAAUAUUUUUAUUAUUAUUAAUAACAUAGAUCACACACAUUCAAAGAGACAAAAAGUGUGUCCUCACAGGGUAAUAGUAAGAAGUGGAAAUGUCAAAUAAAUAUUCUGAAAAAAGCUUUCCCUCUCAACAAGAAAAAAAUAGACACUUUAGACCAUGAGUCACACAGCUUAUUUAAAGUCUGCUUUAAAGAAAAGAUUAAAUGUAACUAAAAAUACUUGUUUGUUCUCUACUGACUCUAAAUAAAGACUAGAUAUUGACCUUAAGAAUACAUGCUUACAUGAGAGACAUUUAAACAAAUUUGUCUCCAGACUCGAGACAUGUGAAAGAUUCCUCCCCCACCAAUCUUUUAGUAUUAGUAAAUUUAUGUCUGGGUU